GGCUGCCAGCUUUACACCAAUAACACCUAAAACCAAAAAGAAUACUUCCUGAAGUCAGGAAUCUGACUGGGGAAUUUGAAGCAGCCCCAAGUUCAGUAACCAAUAUGACUGUGUGCAUAUUGAACGUUGUUGCUGGUAUUAAGUAUUUACUAGCGCUUCUCAGGGUUUGUAGCUCUUUUUGGUUUGUAGCUAGGUCACGGUCUCGCUAAUCGGGGCUGUCGCUGUUUGUGGAGCCAAUCAGUGUCCCUGGAGUUGAGCCAGGCUCCUCUGUCUGUUCUCCAUGAGGAACCUCAGCAGCUUUAAGUCCUCCUCGAUGAUGCCAAUAGCGGGGUUGGCCAAGGAUGUGGCGGCGAGCCAAGACGCAUGGGGUCGGUAGGUGCAUUCCCGGGGGUCCUGGUUGGAGACGUGAUAAUACCAUCUGUUGGUCACAACAGACCCGGGAGCCCUGCUGUCAAAACCGUCGACUCCCUCCACCGGUGUCGUUUCGAAGGCCAAACUUCAGGUCGCUAAAGGAGAAACGGAGAGGAUUGCCACACCACACGCAGCUCUGUCUAGUGGGAGACAGACCGAUCGUGGCGGAGGGGCUUCCGGAGAGACCACGUGGCUGCAGCUGCUGGACUCCGUCUGCAGCCUUUAGGUGACCGUUGUUGGUGAUAGAGGAGUCAAGCCGCUGUGCAGCGGUGGACGUGAGAUUCAGAACAUCGCUACCCUGAGGCGAAACUCCCAGGAACCUUGGAGAACAAGAGGUUCAUGAAAACACCAGGCGAAGCAGUCUGAAGACGACAAAUGACGGCGAUACCUUGUGAAGGUCGGACAGCUGCUGAUGUCUUAUCAAACCGUCUUUGUUGGGAAACUGUCUCCUACACAGCAGACAAGCCAUCUUCUUCCAGUCGGUGAGCUUGUCCAGACUCAUGUCGCCAGCGUCGGAUUCUGCCGCUCCUCCUUCCUCUGGGUCACUGUCUCCGCUGUAGGCUGCCACCAGGCCA
Long non-coding RNA from Fundulus heteroclitus (mummichog), 986 nucleotides. RefSeq lists it as uncharacterized. NCBI's taxonomy places the organism in Eukaryota, Metazoa, Chordata, Actinopteri, Cyprinodontiformes, Fundulidae. The record is from RefSeq and is a predicted model, not a curated record. The transcript is spliced from 3 exons.